RNAcentral lists this ribosomal RNA (140 nucleotides) under uncultured eukaryote. RNAcentral's name for it is "partial 18S ribosomal RNA". It matches the Rfam family "Eukaryotic small subunit ribosomal RNA", at positions 1299 to 1458 of the family's 1831-position model. The record is from RNAcentral.
UGGUGGGUUGCCUUGUCAGGUUGAUUUCGGUAACGAACGAGACCUCGGCCUGCUAACUAGCUUCGGGGGGCCUUGGCCCCGCCGACGCUUCUUAGAGGGACUGCUGGCGUUCCAGCCAGCGGAAGCGCGAGGCGAUAACA